GAUGAACGCUGGCGGCGUGCCUAAUACAUGCAAGUCGAGCGAACGGACGAGAAGCUUGCUUCUCUGAUGUUAGCGGCGGACGGGUGAGUAACACGUGGAUAACCUACCUAUAAGACUGGGAUAACUUCGGGAAACCGGAGCUAAUACCGGAUAAUAUUUUGAACCGCAUGGUUCAAAAGUGAAAGACGGUCUUGCUGUCACUUAUAGAUGGAUCCGCGCUGCAUUAGCUAGUUGGUAAGGUAACGGCUUACCAAGGCAACGAUGCAUAGCCGACCUGAGAGGGGGAUCGGCACAACGGGAACUGAGAAACGGUCCAGACUCCGACGGAGGGAAGCAGGGGGGAAUCUUCCGCAAGGGGGGAAACCCUGACGAAGCAACGCGGGGGGAGUGAUAAAGGUCUUCGGAUCGUAAAACUCUGUUAUUGGGGAAAAACAGAUGUGUAAGUAACAGUGCACAUCUUGACGGUACCUAAUCAGAAAGCCACGGCUAACUACGU
RNAcentral lists this ribosomal RNA (496 nucleotides) under uncultured bacterium. Its description in RNAcentral is "partial 16S ribosomal RNA". It matches the Rfam family "Bacterial small subunit ribosomal RNA", at positions 28 to 506 of the family's 1533-position model. The record is from RNAcentral.